GGAGAGGUGUCCGAGCGGUUUAAGGAGCCGGUCUUGAAAACCGGUGAUGCAGCGAUGCACCGUGGGUUCGAAUCCCACCCUCUCCGCCA
RNAcentral lists this transfer RNA (89 nucleotides) under Ruminococcus sp. RNAcentral describes it as "tRNA-Ser". It matches the Rfam family "tRNA". Rfam says of the family: Transfer RNA (tRNA) molecules are approximately 80 nucleotides in length. Their secondary structure includes four short double-helical elements and three loops (D, anti-codon, and T loops). RNAcentral also lists the same sequence under 2 other names. The record is from RNAcentral. Lineage: Bacteria; Bacillati; Bacillota; Clostridia; Eubacteriales; Oscillospiraceae.